UAGCUCAGAUUGUGUUUGUACAGAAGUGU
Molecule: non-coding RNA, 29 nt
Filed under: Rattus norvegicus (Norway rat)
Lineage: Eukaryota; Metazoa; Chordata; Mammalia; Rodentia; Muridae
Source: RNAcentral